Molecule: long non-coding RNA, 568 nt
Filed under: Eucalyptus grandis
Lineage: Eukaryota; Viridiplantae; Streptophyta; Magnoliopsida; Myrtales; Myrtaceae
Description: long non-coding RNA (EGRA_LNC000701)
Source: RNAcentral
CGACGAUAUAUUUGGCAGUAAAAUGGGUAGGAAACCCACAUGCUAUAUUCCUGAUCAAAGCAGUACUCCGAGCCCUCUAUCCACUCAACUUCUGGCCAGAUGAUCUUUAGAAUCCAUGGUGCUUCCGAAAACUGUGAAGUUGUCUCACUCCCUUCUGCCCCCACCAGUUUGAAAGGAUUAAGAAAAAGAAAGAAAAGCAGGGUGGCUUGGCAUGUUUUUUCCCAUGCCCAAACGUAAUUGGGUGAUACUUGUUAAAUUUGUGGCUCGAGUUUUUGAUUCAUGGACCUAGAUUUGGCUUGGGAUUGACUCAUUUAAUUGCAUGGACCAAAUACACAACUUGAAGAAUGUUUGAGUAUUGUACAGGGUUGGCUGUUCAGUGAAGCAACUGUGGACACCUGAAGAAGCCACGAUAGUUACUAGGCAAAUCCUAGGAGUCUGGCCACAAUGGUCCAGUUGUUUAGGAGGUUAACAAAAAGUUGGCAGAUCUCUGCUCAUGACUUUAUAUUCUUUUAACAAUGAUUCUGCAACUCAUAUUUUUAUAUAUUUUUGUUGCUGAGGUAUAUUUGGG